Molecule: long non-coding RNA, 5765 nt
Filed under: Equus caballus (horse)
Lineage: Eukaryota; Metazoa; Chordata; Mammalia; Perissodactyla; Equidae
Description: lncRNA (ENSECAG00000035535.2)
Source: RNAcentral
GAAAUAAACACCAUCCUUCAGUAUUCCUGCCACGACCUUGUCAACAGCAUCCCCCAAUUCGUCUCUCAUGAACAAACUUAUCCUUAGUGGGAAUCGAGGAGGGCUUCCUGGAAGAGGCGAUGUCUGAGCUGCCUGGAAACACAAGAAGGCACACUACAGGUUGGAGGGAGGGGAGAAGGGGAUUCCAACUGGAGACGUUUUCUGCGCUAAAAGAAGGGUGGUGGUAGAGGGAAAGGGUCGGCAAUUUGCAAAUUCGAGAGUGAGCAGGCUGUCAAAGUCCCCGAAACCGUGAUGAAUGCGCCCGGGCUUCCAGAGCCGGCCCAAGUGCUCCUGAGCGAUGGUGAUUUAUGACGGCUGAGAUUUUUCUUAAGCAAGUGGUUUUCGGAGAAAAAAGAAAGGUCACAGUGAGUUAGGCCUUACAUAUCUUAUCUUGUUCUCCACCAGCCGGCAAUCCUGAACUUGGCGGAGCCCGUGGGAGUGUGGGCUGCGGGAACGGCAUUAAUACCCAACAAACAAGUGCAGGGGUCCCCCUGACGGGCUGUGUGACUCUGGGAAGCUUGCUCAACCUCUCUGGGCCUUGGAUUCCCUGACCACCAUAGCACUCAUUGCUACUCGUUCCAAACAACGUGGUCUGUCUGGUUAUGGGCUGUCUCUCCCCCCUGUUCUCGGCUGGAUCCAGUGCCCAGAAUGUGCUGGACGCGUGGGGUAUUUGCAGAUGUGAUGAACGUAAGGAUCUCGGGAUGAGACUGGCUGGGAGCGGCGUGGGCCCUAAGUCCAAUGACGGUAUGCCCACGUGAGAGACAACAGAAGGACACAGAUGCCCAGAGGAGAGGCCACAUGAGGACGGAGGCGGAGGCUAGACAAUGUGGGCACAAGUCGGGGGACGCCUGGAGCUCCCCGAAGUUGGAAGGAGCAGGAAGGACCCUCCUCUGGAGGUUUCGGGGGGACAACGGGCCUGCCUGUACCUUGAUUUUGGAUUUUUGUCUUCCAGAAUGUGAGAGAAUAUGUUUCUAUGUUUUUGUUUUUGAAAUAUUAAUUCUGGUAAAAUACACAUAACAUAAAAUUUACCAUUUCUAGGUGUCCAGUUCAGUGGCACUAAGUAAUUCACAUUGCUGUGCAGCCGUCCCCACCAGCCAUCUCCAGAACUUUCCAUCUUCCCAAACUGAAACCCUGUCCCCAUUAAACAUGAGCUCUGCCCCACCUACCACCGGCACCCACCAUCCUACUUCCUGUCUCUGUUGGUCUUCUGACCGCUCCAGGGACCUCACGUGCACAGAAUCACACAGUAUUUGUCCUGCUGUGACUACCUUCUUUCACUCAGCCUAAUAUCCUACAAGCUUGUCCGGGUCGCAGAAUUUCCCUUUUAAGGCUGAAGAAUAUUCGGUGGUAGGUAUAUGCCACACUGGAUUUAUCCAUUUGUCUAUUGAUGGGCGCUUGGGUUGCUUCCACCUUUUGGCGAUUGUGAACGAUGCCGCUGUGAGAGUUGGGCGUGCUGCUGCAGGUCUGUCAUUUCCGGCUGCCCGGCUGUGGCGGUCUGCUCAGUAGUUCUGAGAGGCGGACACGGGCUCCAGGUGCCCACAAGCUGUCCCAGACCUCGGUUGUGAUGUGGCGGAAAGGGCAUGGGCUCUGGUCCGACCCUGCACCUUGGGGAGGGGACACUGAGCCCCGCGAGCCCUGAGCGCUGAGACGUGGGUGUGAGAAUGGAUGUGAUGAGGGCGCACGGGCAGCCGUGGGCUCAUGGAGGGUGCCUCCAGGCACCAGGAGGAAGACGACAAAGGAGGAGGACCGGUCCCCGCUCGGGAGGCUGAGCUUCAUUGGGGAGCGCAGGAAUCCUGACCGGGAGGGCGAGGGGAAGGCGGACAGGGAGGCAGCGGCCCAGGGCCAGGCGGGGAGGCCUCUCCUGGCCACACCCAGCAGCACCCGGGGCUUCUCUCCGUUGGGAGCCUCGGGCAGCAGGUGAGGAAGGAGGAAGUGCGUUCUCCACGCCUGGAGCUGACGGCUCACCGGGUCUCGGCGGGAUUGGCAUCUCCUCGAUGGCAUCAGCUCCUUGGAACCGGAAAGGCAGUUUCCAUUGGGUUUGUCCUGGCCACCCACCCAGGGAGACGGAGUCUAGCCUGGUUCCCAGAGUUUGGGCAAAGACCGAUCAAUGGCCUGGCGUCCGAGUGAGGACGUGCAAUGCAUUUUUGGAGGAAAAAUGCCUCUUCUCGGACCUCCCCCAGCAGAGCCUUCCCCACGGGCGGGUUGGCUGUGGAGCGAAGGCCCAGUGCUGGGUGCCAGGUGACAGAGGGGACCCUCCGGACGCCAUUUCCACAUCCUGGAGCCUCCGUUCUGGAGGGGUGUGUGUGUCCUAUGGUGUGGUGACUGAUGACCAGAGACCGAGCGGCUUAAACCAACAGACACUCCUUCUCCUCCAGCUCUGGAGGCUGGAAUGUGAAAUCGGCGUGUGGGCAGGCCCAGCCCCCCGGAAGCUCCAGGCACUCGGAUCCCAGACUCUCCCUCUCCCACGGUGGCCGGCAGCAUCGGAGAUGGGGCUGCCUGUCAGGAAGGGCCCCUGGGUGACCACAGUGAGGAGACCCCCGUCAACCCUCGGUGGGCACAGUGUCAGUGAGAGACAAACUCCUGGCAGUCGGAGAUGCUCUUGUUACCAUGGCAUAAGCUAGCCUGUGCUGACCGACCACCUCCAGAGGCACCGGGUGAAGAUAGCGCCAGCCAGUGGCCUGGAAGCUUCUAGAAUGAUGGCCUCUUCUUCCCAACAGAUCUGUCAGCAAAUCUCCAACCGUAGCAUCAUUGAGCGAAUCAAUGCUGAGAAAAAAAUGGGCAAAUUCCAAAUAAUUGAAAAACGAUCUGAAAUACGGACUCCACGCACCACCACUAAUGAAAAUCUCUCCCUUGGUACUUAGACAUGAGCGGAGGUUGGCACAUUAUAUGAGCUCCAAACAAAGAAAUAUGCCUAUGCUGGGGGUGUGCACUUUAGGGUUUUGGGGAGCACAAUGAAAAUGUUGGGAGACGGCAGCUGUGGAUGGCUCAGAACAUUCUGGAAUGGAUGAGGCCAUGCUGUUAUUCCACAGCCUGGGAGACGGCGGUCUGGAGGAGGAAGGGGCCCGUGGGAUGUGAUGGACCCCUUGCAUUGUGGCAUUUCUUAGGUGCUACGGCCCCAGGCUCUCGGUCUCCUGUCACUUGGAGACACUGCAUUGUUCUGCCCCCUCAGGCUGUGCCUUGGGUUCGGGGUCCUGACCAAGGUCACCUCUGCCGCAUGGCCUCGCCCGGAACCCUCCCUCGCUCUCCUCUCCCUUCUUCCGGCCACACGGAUUCCUCCCCAUGGCUCUCUGGUUUCAUCACAGUUGUCAGAACACGUGUCCAUCCUGUGCAUGGUUUCUGAGCCCCUACUGGGUGUCAGGAUGGGGAGAUGGACGAGUCCAACAUGGUGGCUGCCCCCGGAGCCCGUCCUCUGACCUCUCAUCCUUGUGGCCCUUUCCUACCACUGACACGACCACACGAAGACGGAGCCUUUCAUCCACGGUGUCUCUGCCGUUUUUAUCCUCCUUAUCUCACUUGAUCCUGUGUGCAUACACAGGUCUACGGUUUUUCUAAUUUCCUAUAAAGCAGUGCCAACCUUUUUCUCAAAGAAAAUCUUGCAUGGGUCCCAAUAUAAAAGAGAUGUUAAGUGAAUCCACUUAGGGUAGCAACAUGGACAGACCUGGGCAGAUGCCUGGCCUGCACCUGUGCCUCAGUUUCCCCCAUGGGAUCGCUGAGGCCCCCCACAGGCUGAAACCUCGGGGAAUCCCUUGAGGUCAGAGGCUGUGUGACUGACCCAUGUCUCCAGUGUCCCACAUGCAGCUGGCACCCAGCAGGCACUCAGUGUGGUGGGCUCCGUGCAAACACUGAUGGUGGUACCGUGGGUGCUUUGGAGAGCCUGAGGGGCCACCUUUGGUGCUGCCUUAGACCUGGGGAGGGCACUGCGUCUUUGAGGGCCCCAGCUGUUGGGGGGUAGUUGGUGGGGCCAGGGGACAGGCUCACCUGAAGCUCACACUUGGUUUUAGGCCAUGUUCCAGGUACCUCGGACCUGGCAUUCCCCACCAAAUGUCCCCAAGCCUAGCCCGUGGCCCAUGUGGGUUUAGAGCUGGGUCUGUCUUCUGGAGGGCAGACCAGCCUGCAGGCAUGUAUCCCUGGGCCUGACUGAGGGCAGACCAGCCUGCAGGAGUGUGUGUCCCUGAGACCGAAAAGUGUCCAUGGGCCGUGUUUUGAGAAGACGGACAUAGCUUGGACAUGCAGUUUGGGAUGUCUGCACACACAGGCACAAAGUCCUCACAGCGUAGGACGGGCCUGGGGUGGGCAGGUUGGGGGGCUGGAGUCUGGGCCCAGCUGCCCUCCGUCCCUUCUCCCAGUGCCUGAUGGUCUUCCUUGCAGCCUGAGCAUCCUGACCGGGGAGCCGGCCUUCCACGAGGUUCUGAAGGGUCUUUGUUGAGGCUGGAGAAGAGAACGUGUUUCCUUUAGCAGCCUGUUGGAAGGAGCUCGCCUGGAUGACGGGGUCACCUGACUUGUGUCCAGAGUGAGGAUUCGUGGCGUUGUCGGCACCUGUUAUCACAGGUUCAGAUGGGUGAGCCAGUUGCCGUGCUGGGCCGCCCUGGGAAGAUCCCGGUGGGAUGGGGCCAAUGCACAGGGCCUGGCGAGGCACAGACCCCUCCCUCCUCUCCCUGGACGUCGGCCACGGCCCCCAUGGUCACUCUGCAAUCAGCCUCCGCAUUAGUCUGCUGGGGGCCCCUUAAAUCCCACAGACGGGUGGCUUAAACCCAGGAGUUUACUCUGCACCGUUCUGGAAGCUGGAGGUCUGUGGUCCGGGGGCCGGCGUGGUCAGGUUCCUGGUGAGCCCUCUUCCUGGCUUACAGACGCCACCUUCUCGUGCUGUGUCCACACGUGGAGGGGAGAGAGGAAGCAAUCUCUGUGAUGUCUCUUUUACAAAGGCACUAAUGCCGUCCUGGGGAUCCCGCACUCCUGAGCUCGUCUGACCUGAUCACCUCUUUCUCCAAAUACCACCGUCAAAUGGGGGCGCAACUCAGUCCACAGCAGCCUCCUUCCCUCUGAGUCAUCUCUAGUUUAUCUUCCAAAGCAUCUUCGUACACGCAAAUCUGAUCCGUCAUUCCCCAGCCUAAAGCCUGCCCGAGGCUCUGAGCCUGGGUUCCACGGUCCGGCAGUCAAGGCUCCCACAGCCGGCCCCUGCUGCCACCAGAGGCAGGAGAUGAGGCCCUGCCAAAGUGGCGGCUGCGGCUUCUGAGAUGAGGUCACAAAAGAUGGUGACUUGCCCCUUGCUGGCCCUCUUGCACUCUCUCAGAGCCCUCGCUCUGGGCACCAGCCUCCACGCUCCAAGCUCCCUUAGCAGAGGCCACACACCAGCCAGGACUCAAGGCCCCUCAGUCCAACAGCCACCAGAAACGGAUCCUGCCAAGAGGCGUGUGGAGCAGAUCCCCUCCCUAGUGGAGCCUGGAGAGGACAGCAGCCGGGGAGACCCUGGGCAGGGACCCCGCUGGGCUGCACCUGUUCCCUGGCCCACAGGAACUGCAGGGGCCUUGGCUUUCUCGGCACAGCCCUGAGAACCCGGGUGUGUGACAGAGCAGACACAGGGGGUCCCAGCCGCGGGGGCAGGUGACCCUCCUGGGACCCCUGAGGCUUUUGCAUCCCAGGCCCCAAUGUUCAGACGUCAAUUCUGAGGAGCAGAGGCAAGGGGCUGACCUUGAGUCAAGCUGGAAGGUGAAUGGCGCUAACAGACG